CCAACAGAGUACAGAAAAAUUACAAGAAAUUGCUUGCUUGCUGUAGAAUUGUUGAUUGCACUCAUUUACGAAUUCAAUCAUCAUCUUAAUAUCAUACAGGUCUACUGAGAAAUCACUGGAUGGUUGUUAAUAGUGCUUACUCAAAUAUACCAUAUUUAUUAACACCAUUUCUCUGGCUGACCAGAGAUAUGAUGAAGUACACAUUAAGAAUAGGAAUACUAUAGACAGAACAUUUGGAGUAUGGAAAUGUUGCUUUAACAUUGUAUUUAUCACUAGCUAAAGUUCAAGCUAUUAUUAUUGCCACAGCUGUUAUGCAAAAUAUUUGUAAGGAUUAUAAUUUGUAGAUAUACCGGCAGAAGUUUUAGUUCCAACACUUGAUACAA
Pieris brassicae (large cabbage white) is the source of this 383-nucleotide long non-coding RNA. RefSeq lists it as uncharacterized. Lineage: Eukaryota; Metazoa; Arthropoda; Insecta; Lepidoptera; Pieridae. The transcript is spliced from 3 exons. The record is from RefSeq and is a predicted model, not a curated record.